RNAcentral lists this ribosomal RNA (523 nucleotides) under Acinetobacter junii. Its description in RNAcentral is "bacterial SSU rRNA". It matches the Rfam family "Bacterial small subunit ribosomal RNA", at positions 1 to 522 of the family's 1533-position model. Lineage: Bacteria; Pseudomonadati; Pseudomonadota; Gammaproteobacteria; Moraxellales; Moraxellaceae. The record is from RNAcentral.
UGGAGAGUUUGAUCCUGGCUCAGAUUGAACGCUGGCGGCAGGCUUAACACAUGCAAGUCGAGCGGAGAUGAGGUGCUUGCACCUUAUCUUAGCGGCGGACGGGUGAGUAAUGCUUAGGAAUCUGCCUAUUAGUGGGGGACAACAUUCCGAAAGGAAUGCUAAUACCGCAUACGUCCUACGGGAGAAAGCAGGGGAUCUUCGGACCUUGCGCUAAUAGAUGAGCCUAAGUCGGAUUAGCUAGUUGGUGGGGUAAAGGCCUACCAAGGCGACGAUCUGUAGCGGGUCUGAGAGGAUGAUCCGCCACACUGGGACUGAGACACGGCCCAGACUCCUACGGGAGGCAGCAGUGGGGAAUAUUGGACAAUGGGGGGAACCCUGAUCCAGCCAUGCCGCGUGUGUGAAGAAGGCCUUAUGGUUGUAAAGCACUUUAAGCGAGGAGGAGGCUACUGAGACUAAUACUCUUGGAUAGUGGACGUUACUCGCAGAAUAAGCACCGGCUAACUCUGUGCCAGCAGCCGCGGUA